Molecule: long non-coding RNA, 205 nt
Filed under: Bos indicus x Bos taurus (hybrid cattle)
Lineage: Eukaryota; Metazoa; Chordata; Mammalia; Artiodactyla; Bovidae
Description: lncRNA (ENSBIXG00005012404.1)
Source: RNAcentral
GUGGUAAUAUUUCUCAUUGAAAUACCGCAUUUUUCUUUCAGUGGUGGCAGAAGGAAACCAUGAGAAAAUCUGCUUUCUGAAAAAUCAUGUCUUGACUCACACAGUGUUUCUGAGGGAAAGCAGUGGAGCCUGCAGAUGAUGCUACCAGAGUUUCUUUUUGGAGGCAGAGCGUGUGGGAUUGGUGGGCUCACCAAAUUAGAAAACC